Non-coding RNA from Arachis ipaensis, 204 nucleotides. Lineage: Eukaryota; Viridiplantae; Streptophyta; Magnoliopsida; Fabales; Fabaceae. The record is from RefSeq and is a predicted model, not a curated record.
UUUGUGGAUUUAAAAUAAAGAAAUACUAAUCUAAGUAUUAGCCAUCAUGUGAUUAUUAUCAAGCAAUUUCAUGUAGCUCCACCUCUUGAGCACAAAAAAUGAUAACUUUCAUCACUAUUCUUAAUAUCUUAUAUUCAAAUAGUUUCCAUAUAGAGUUGUGUUAAUCUCAUGCAAUGGCUCUACAAGAUAAAUAUGAGUACAUAA